This 279-nucleotide long non-coding RNA is filed under the name Phoenix dactylifera (date palm). RNAcentral's name for it is "long non-coding RNA (PDAC_LNC008582)". The record is from RNAcentral. Lineage: Eukaryota; Viridiplantae; Streptophyta; Magnoliopsida; Arecales; Arecaceae.
UUAUACUAGAUUUAAUGAAUAAAUUGAGACUUAUCUUUAAUUAUGUGUCAACGCACCCAUUUGUAUGAAAAUUUCAUUUAUUCCAUGGGUAGCUUGGCACACCUACAUCUACACCCUCAUAUUUUCAUUUUAGGUACCCAAGCUUGCUUGGGUCCUUGAGGGUUAGUGCAUAUGGUUCCUUUUGGAACCCAAAUCUGUUUAAUCGUAAUAACUUUACCAUUUGAUUUAUUCGUAUUAGAACCAUAGGUAAAGUUUUUAUGCCCAAUCUUUUUAUGUUUG